CGCCCCUUCGGGGGAGCGGCAGACGGGUGAGUAACACGUUGGAAUCUGCCCCAAAGUGAGGGAUAAGCCCGGGAAACUGGGUCUAAUACCGCAUGUGCCCGCAAGGGUAAAGCUUUUGCGCUUUGGGAGGAGCCUGCGUAAUAUCAGCUUGUUGGUGAGGUAAUGGCUCACCAAGGCUAUGACGUUUAACUGGUCUGAGAGGAUGACCAGUCACAAGGGAACUGAGAUACGGUCCCUACUCC
This 242-nucleotide ribosomal RNA is filed under the name uncultured bacterium. RNAcentral describes it as "partial 16S ribosomal RNA". It matches the Rfam family "Bacterial small subunit ribosomal RNA", at positions 67 to 339 of the family's 1533-position model. The record is from RNAcentral.